This is a small nucleolar RNA of Arvicanthis niloticus (Nile rat), 130 nucleotides long. RefSeq annotates it as small nucleolar RNA SNORA17. The record is from RefSeq and is a predicted model, not a curated record. Lineage: Eukaryota; Metazoa; Chordata; Mammalia; Rodentia; Muridae.
CCUGCCCCUAGAGGGGAGGCAUUGCAGGUAUGUCUGUCACAUGUGUGUCAGUAGGUAGCAGAAAGGAGUGAGGCUGUCUGUGCUCAGUGUUCUAACCUAUGAAUAUCUGAAUAUUUAGUAGCCCAACAUU